RNAcentral lists this ribosomal RNA (449 nucleotides) under Cervus elaphus (red deer). RNAcentral describes it as "partial large subunit ribosomal RNA". It matches the Rfam family "Bacterial large subunit ribosomal RNA", at positions 1970 to 2594 of the family's 2925-position model. Lineage: Eukaryota; Metazoa; Chordata; Mammalia; Artiodactyla; Cervidae. The record is from RNAcentral.
UGUUCUUUAAAUAGGGACUUGUAUGAAUGGCCACACGAGGGUUUUACUGUCUCUUACUUCCAAUCAGUGAAAUUGACCUUCCCGUGAAGAGGCGGGAAUAUAUUAAUAAGACGAGAAGACCCUAUGGAGCUUUAACUACUUAGCCCAAAAGAAACAAAUUUCAUUGCUAAGGAAACAACAACACUCUUUAUGGGCUAACAGCUUUGGUUGGGGUGACCUCGGAGAACAAGAAAUCCUCCGAGCGAUUUUAAAGACUAGACCUACAAGUCGAAUCACACAAUCGUUUAUUGAUCCAAAAAAUUGAUCAACGGAACAAGUUACCCUAGGGAUAACAGCGCAAUCCUAUUCAAGAGUCCAUAUCGACAAUAGGGUUUACGACCUCGAUGUUGGAUCAGGACAUCCCGAUGGUGCAACCGCUAUCAAAGGUUCGUUUGUUCAACGAUUAAAGU